RNAcentral lists this ribosomal RNA (732 nucleotides) under uncultured marine microorganism. RNAcentral's name for it is "bacterial SSU rRNA". It matches the Rfam family "Bacterial small subunit ribosomal RNA", at positions 8 to 719 of the family's 1533-position model. The record is from RNAcentral.
AGAGUUUGAUCAUGGCUCAGAUUGAACGCUGGCGGCAGGCCUAACACAUGCAAGUCGAGCGGAAACGAGUUAUCUGAACCUUCGGGGAACGAUAACGGCGUCGAGCGGCGGACGGGUGAGUAAUGCCUAGGAAAUUGCCUUGAUGUGGGGGAUAACCAUUGGAAACGAUGGCUAAUACCGCAUAAUGCCUACGGGCCAAAGAGGGGGACCUUCGGGCCUCUCGCGUCAAGAUAUGCCUAGGUGGGAUUAGCUAGUUGGUGAGGUAAUGGCUCACCAAGGCGACGAUCCCUAGCUGGUCUGAGAGGAUGAUCAGCCACACUGGAACUGAGACACGGUCCAGACUCCUACGGGAGGCAGCAGUGGGGAAUAUUGCACAAUGGGCGAAAGCCUGAUGCAGCCAUGCCGCGUGUAUGAAGAAGGCCUUCGGGUUGUAAAGUACUUUCAGUUGUGAGGAAGGGGGUGUCGUUAAUAGCGGCAUCUCUUGACGUUAGCAACAGAAGAAGCACCGGCUAACUCCGUGCCAGCAGCCGCGGUAAUACGGAGGGUGCGAGCGUUAAUCGGAAUUACUGGGCGUAAAGCGCAUGCAGGUGGUUCAUUAAGUCAGAUGUGAAAGCCCGGGGCUCAACCUCGGAACUGCAUUUGAAACUGGUGAACUAGAGUACUGUAGAGGGGGGUAGAAUUUCAGGUGUAGCGGUGAAAUGCGUAGAGAUCUGAAGGAAUACCAGUGGCGAA